This 330-nucleotide unclassified non-coding RNA is filed under the name soil metagenome. RNAcentral's name for it is "partial contains 5.8S ribosomal RNA, internal transcribed spacer 2, and large subunit ribosomal RNA". The stretch from base 1 to 121 matches the Rfam family "5.8S ribosomal RNA", at positions 35 to 154 of the family's 154-position model. The record is from RNAcentral.
GAUGAAGAACGCAGCGAAUUGCGAUAAGUAAUGUGAAUUGCAGAUUUUCAGUGAAUCAUCGAAUCUUUGAACGCACCUUGCGCUCCUUGGUAUUCCGGGGGGCAUGCCUCUUCCAGCGUCAUUUCACCCCUCAAGCUCUGCUUGGUUUUGGGCCGCGCCGGCAACGGCGGGCCUCGAAAAUAGUGGCGACGCCAUCGUGCUCUCAGCGUAGUAAUUCUUCUCGCUGUUGGGUCCCGGUGGUCGUCCGCCAGCAACCCCCAACUUUCUUAAGUUUGACCUGGGAUGAGGUAGGGAUACCCGCUGAACUUAAGCAUAUCAAUAAGCGGAGGA